GCUGGAUUAGUUUAGUGGCAAAACAAAAGCAUGGUAAGCUUUAGCCCCGAGUUCGAUUCUCGGAUUCAGCACCA
RNAcentral lists this transfer RNA (74 nucleotides) under Mycoplasmataceae bacterium. RNAcentral's name for it is "tRNA-Thr". It matches the Rfam family "tRNA". From Rfam's summary of the family: Transfer RNA (tRNA) molecules are approximately 80 nucleotides in length. Lineage: Bacteria; Bacillati; Mycoplasmatota; Mollicutes; Mycoplasmatales; Mycoplasmataceae. The record is from RNAcentral.